Molecule: ribosomal RNA, 460 nt
Filed under: uncultured bacterium
Lineage: Bacteria
Description: partial 16S ribosomal RNA
Rfam family: Bacterial small subunit ribosomal RNA
Source: RNAcentral
CCUACGGGUGGCUGCAGUGAGGAAUAUUGGUCCAUGGGCGCGAGCCUGAACCAGCCAAGUCGCGUGAGGGAUGACGGUCCUACGGAUUGUAAACCUCUUUUGCCGAGGCGCCAGCAUGCGUUCGUGAACGCGCGUCGAGAGUACCCGGCGAAAACGCAUCGGCUAACUCCGUGCCAGCCGCCGCGGUAAUACGGAGGAUGCGAGCGUUAUCCGGAUUUAUUGGGUUUAAAGGGUGCGUAGGCGGGAUGCCAAGUCAGCGGUCACAAUGCGGUGCUCAACGCCGUCGAGCCGUUGAAACUGGCGUUCUGGAGUGGGCGAGAAGUAUGCGGAAUGCGUGGUGUAGCGGUGAAAUGCAUAGAUAUCACGCAGAACUCCGAGUGCGAAGGCAGCAUACCGGCGCCCUACUGACGCUGAGGCACGAAAGCGGGGGUAUCGAACAGGAUUAGAUACCCUUGUAGUC